UGUGUGGACGUGCACGCAGCCGGUGUUAUACAUAUGUUGCGGGUGGUGUCCUUAAGUGUUGUGGGUAACGCGCUUGAUGGCGGGUGGCGUGGGUUGGUGGGAAAAUCGGGGGCUCUAGCCAGGACGUGUGGUGGGGGCGGGCGUAGUAGAGUAGGGUAGGGGAGGCCGUAAUUCCUGGUGUAGCGGGUAAAUGCGCAGAGAUCAGGAGGAACACCGAUGGCGAAGGGAGGUCUCUGGGCCACUACUGACGCUGAGAAGCGAAAUCAUGGGGAGCGAACAGGAUUAGAUACCCUAGUAGUC
RNAcentral lists this ribosomal RNA (300 nucleotides) under uncultured Paenalcaligenes sp. RNAcentral's name for it is "bacterial SSU rRNA". It matches the Rfam family "Bacterial small subunit ribosomal RNA", at positions 496 to 795 of the family's 1533-position model. The record is from RNAcentral. Lineage: Bacteria; Pseudomonadati; Pseudomonadota; Betaproteobacteria; Burkholderiales; Alcaligenaceae.